Molecule: transfer RNA, 91 nt
Filed under: Mycobacterium shigaense
Lineage: Bacteria; Bacillati; Actinomycetota; Actinomycetes; Mycobacteriales; Mycobacteriaceae
Description: tRNA-Asp
Source: RNAcentral
CACGGCCGCGCGUCGGCCGAACAGAUCGCGGCUGUCGUCCGCGAAAUCGACGAGCACCGUCGCGUCGCGGGUUCGGCCUCGGCGGCCGAGG